UGGUUUUAGAGCAUUUCGUAUUACUCUGUAGUCUACAUAAAUCGGAGACACUCCAUUUAGUAUGAUAUGUUACCUUUCAUAUGGUUGUAGGAUAUACAGACAGCAGCUGUGGUAGAAUGAUCAGCUGGUAGAUCAGAAAAGCUACAUCCCUGAUUGGCAGAUGAGUGGCAACCCUGAUUAGAAGUACCUGCUGCUCAUCGGUUCUUCCCUACAAAUACUGUUUUGAAUAAAAAAAUGUACCUACACACUGAAGAAGACUGCAA
Molecule: long non-coding RNA, 263 nt
Organism: Salmo salar (Atlantic salmon)
Lineage: Eukaryota; Metazoa; Chordata; Actinopteri; Salmoniformes; Salmonidae
Source: RefSeq, a predicted model, not a curated record